UAGCUUGAAGUGAUGACUCUUAAUUUCAUGUCUCUUCAUCUUCACUGACAUUUUCUCUGGAGAUGGUUUCUUCCAUACUGAUCUGAUCGUGCUA
Small nucleolar RNA from Jaculus jaculus (lesser Egyptian jerboa), 94 nucleotides. Lineage: Eukaryota; Metazoa; Chordata; Mammalia; Rodentia; Dipodidae. The record is from Ensembl.